This 403-nucleotide ribosomal RNA is filed under the name uncultured bacterium. RNAcentral's name for it is "partial 16S ribosomal RNA". It matches the Rfam family "Bacterial small subunit ribosomal RNA", at positions 28 to 526 of the family's 1533-position model. The record is from RNAcentral.
GACGAACGCUGGCGGCGUGCCUAAUACAUGCAAGUCGAACGCAGUGGGGACGGGUGAGUAAAACGUGGGUAACCUCCCAUCAGAGGGGAUAACACUUGGAAACAGGUGCUAAACCCAUACUGCUGGAUGGACUCGCGGUGCAUUGGCUAGUCGGGGGGGAAACGGCUUACCAAGGCACCGAUGCAUAGCGGACCUGAGAGGGUGAUCGGCCACACUGGAACUGAGACACGGCCCAGACUCCUACGGGAGGCAGCAGUAGGGAAUCUUCGGCAAUGGACGAAAGUCUGACCGAGCAACGCCGCGUGAGUGAAGAAGGUUUUCGGAUCGUAAAACUCUGUUGUUAGAGAAGCGGUAUCUAACCAGAAAGCCACGGCUAACUACGUGCCAGCAGCCGCGGUAAUUC